UACGUAGGGUGCGAGCGUUAAUCGGAAUUACUGGGCGUAAAGCGUGCGCAGGCGGUUUGUUAAGAUAGGCGUGAAAUCCCCGGGCUCAACCUGGGAACUGCGUUUAUGACUGGCAGGCUAGAGUAUGGCAGAGGGGGGUGGAAUUCCACGUGUAGCAGUGAAAUGCGUAGAGAUGUGGAGGAACACCGAUGGCGAAGGCAGCCCCCUGGGCCAAUACUGACGCUCAUGCACGAAAGCGUGGGUAGCAAACAGG
RNAcentral lists this ribosomal RNA (253 nucleotides) under uncultured bacterium. RNAcentral describes it as "partial 16S ribosomal RNA". It matches the Rfam family "Bacterial small subunit ribosomal RNA", at positions 524 to 776 of the family's 1533-position model. RNAcentral also lists the same sequence under 2 other names. The record is from RNAcentral.